GAUGAACGCUAGCGGCAGGCUUAACACAUGCAAGUCGAGGGGUAUAUGUCUUCGGAUAUAGAGACCGGCGCACGGGUGCGUAACGCGUAUGCAAUCUGCCUUCCAACAAAGGAAUAGCCCAGAGAAAUUUGGAUUAAUGCCUUAUAGCAUAUAGAAAUGGCAUUCUUUUUAUAUUAAAGUAUUUAUCGGUGGAAGAUGAG
This 200-nucleotide ribosomal RNA is filed under the name uncultured bacterium. Its description in RNAcentral is "partial 16S ribosomal RNA". It matches the Rfam family "Bacterial small subunit ribosomal RNA", at positions 28 to 229 of the family's 1533-position model. The record is from RNAcentral.